RNAcentral lists this ribosomal RNA (667 nucleotides) under Sporobolus stolzii. RNAcentral describes it as "eukaryotic LSU rRNA". The stretch from base 245 to 400 matches the Rfam family "5.8S ribosomal RNA". The record is from RNAcentral. Lineage: Eukaryota; Viridiplantae; Streptophyta; Magnoliopsida; Poales; Poaceae.
ACCUGCGGAAGGAUCAUUGUCAAGACCCUAACCAAAAGAGACUGUGAAUGCGUCAUCUAUGCUGCUAAGUGACGGCUCUUACGCCGUCUCUCGGCCUGAGCCCUAAGACCCUCCUAAUGAGGGGAUGAUGGCCAAACAGAACCCACGGCGCUGGAUGGCGUCAAGGAAUACUGAAGCUGCAUGCUCGGGGUUACAGCCAGCAUGCUGGACGAACGCUGCGCUGCAAUGCUACCUGAAUCUAUAAGACUCUCGGCAACGGAUAUCUUGGCUCUCACAUCGAUGAAGAACGUAGCAAAAUGCGAUACCUGGUGUGAAUUGCAGAAUCCCGUGAACCAUCGAGUUUUUGAACGCAAGUUGCGCCUGAGGCCUCAUGGUUGAGGGCACGUCUGCCUGGUCGUCACGCCAAAAGCCACUCCACUGGCAUAAUACUUGAUGGAUGUGGCAUCUUGUCUUCCAUGCUGCUUGAUAUGGUAGGCUAAAGUAAGAGGCUGCUGGCCAUGGUGCCGAUUGGAACACAUGGUGGAUAACAUAGGUUGUUCUCAGAGUUGUGACAUGGAGCUCCUUCGGCUGAAUUGGCAACCUGUAUCCCAUGGACCGAGCAAUGAUUGCUCGCACUACGACCCCAGGUCAGUCGGGACUACCCGCCGAAUUUAAGCAUAUCAAUAAG